UGGAGGAACUUAAAUAAAAUUUAAGUCCAAAAUUUGACUGAAAUGGAGUUGGAGUAAAAUAUAGCUUAUGAGAUCAGGUGCUGAAUUUUCUUUUUUAUUAUUAUUUUCUUUUUAUCUUUUUAAGCCUAAAAAGAUAUUUUCUUUUUAUGUUUUUAAGUUUAAAAAGAUAUUUCAGCUACAGUCAUAAAUAAUAUUACCAAACAGGUUAUGCAAUCAGCUAGCUUAUCAGUUUCAGCACCUUAACAGUUUCAGCUGCUACCUCAUCAUUUUCAGCCAGCUUAUCAGUUUCAGCUUCAUUUCAGUCAGUGUUGCCAAACAUAGCCUUAGAGCUCCCAACAAAAAUAAUAUUACCAUAUAGAAACGGAGGAAAUAUAUAUAUAUACCAUUAAUUGAGUAGGUAGUUGUUGGGUAUCCGCAAACGUAACAUAUACGGACGUCGAAGUCCACACAGUUCGAUCCUUCUUCAAAAAUGAAAAAAAAUUACAAUCAUGAAAGAGUAAUACAAAACAUAAAUGAUGUAUCGUAUACUAUAGGGGUGUAAGCGGACUACGAAAAGUCAAGAGUCCAAUCCAGUCCAGUCCAGUCCAAACUUGUCGGACUGGACUGGACUGAAAAUUUUUCGGACUGGACUCGAACUCAAAUUUUCGAGUCCAAAUAUUUUUGGACUGGAUUUGGACUCAUCCCUUUGCAGUCCAAUAAGUCCAGUCCAAUCCAGAAAUAUUUUUAUAUAUAAUAUAUAUUUAAUACAUAUAUAAUGUAUAUAUUAAAAAAAUUGAUACUAUUUUUAAAAUUUUGGAGUUUUCAACCUUCCCUCUCUAAAUAUUUCAACUAGCGCCAGACAGUUUUACUUGGGGCCAGACUAUUGCACUUAGCUCCAUUUGUUAAAUAAGUAAAUUAUACUAGCAAUACUGCAUUAGUAGGCUAGUAGCCGACUAAUUCUAUCUCACUUCACUCCUCAGUCCUUACUACUCACUUCCUCCUACUCUUCAUUUUCUUUCUACCUCGCUGUCUCGACUCUCGCAUUCUCUAUUUCUCCCUCAGAUUAAUUCUCAGUCUCUCUGCUUCCUCUCAACUUAGAUCAAGGUAAGCAUCUAAUUCAACUUUUUAUUCAUAGUAUUUUACUUUAAUUUAAGCUUUCAAUCUAAUUUUUGGAUAUUGAUAAUUGAAUCAGAUGUAAAAUGCUCAAGCAUCGCAAAAAACGUUGUGUAUCAUUGAAUCUAAAUCGGGAAAAAAGAUAUAAUAAUCGGAUUGGACUGGACUGGAUUCGGACUCAAGAAAAAAUUAUCGGAUUGGAUUGGACUGGACUCAAAAAAUAUUUGGAUCGGACUUGGACUCAAUUUCUCGAGUCCAAAAAACAUCGGACUGGAUUUGGAUUUGGCAAAGUCCAAUCUAGUCCAACAAACUUACACCCCUAGUAUACUAAAUAUAAAAUAUUAUAUACCUACGAUAAUGCUAUCUGGUUAACCAAGAAUGUCUUGACCUAGUGGUUAAGAUUGAGGUACUGUGAACACCAUCUUUAUAAACACCAUUAUCUUUGAUUUUAAAUAUAUUAACUAAGCCUUUCAUGCAUGCUAUGUUUCAAAUUAUUAUCUUUUUGGUUUUAGUUUAUUAGUUAUUACAUUAGAAAAACAUUACAAACUAGAGCAGUAGAGCCAGUUAAAAUUAUGUUAAGAUUAGUUUCUACUAAGGAUUAUGCACCAGUUAAGAUUAUGUUUCUAAAACACUAGUAGAAAAUCAAAAAAUUAAUAAUCAUUAUUAUUAUUGUUAACCUUAAUUAUUAUUAUGUAAUUAUUAUUAUUAUUAUUAUUAUUAUUAUUAUUAUUGUUAACCUUAAUUAUUAUUAUGUAAUUAUUAUUAAUAUUAUUAUAUGUAAUUAUUAUUAUUAUUAUUAUUAUUAUUAUUAUUGUUAACCUUAAUUAUUUGACCAUGAUUAUAAUAUUAUUCAAUAGCAAUAUGAAUAAUCAAAUAAUAGACAAUAAUACAAGUAUAAUACUAUACAUUGUGGUACUUUAAUAAAAAAUUCUAAUAAUAACAUAAUCAGCUAAUAGUAAUAUGAAUAAUAAAAUAAUAGACAUAAUACAAAUAAAUAAUAAAAUAAUAGACAUAAUACAAAUAAAUAAUAAAAUAAUAGACACUAAUACAAGUAUAAUACUAUAUAAUCAUUGUGGUACUUUAAUUAAAAUUCUAAUAAUAACAUAAUCAGCUAAUAGUGAUAUGAAAUUAUGAAUAACAAAAUAAUGGACAAUAAUACAAAUGUUUAUUAAACAUUGACUAUUUGGACCUUAUUAGACCUGAUUGGAACUUAUUGGACCUUAUUAGACCUGAUUGGAACUUAUUGCACCUGAUUGGAACUUAUUGGACCUUAUUAGACCUUAUUGGAACUUAUUGGACCUUAUUAGACCUUAUUGGAACUUAUUGCCCUUAUUAGACCUUAUCAAAACUUAUCUGAACUUAUCAAAACUUAUCUGAACUUAUCUGGACUUAUUGGACCUGAAACUUAAUUUUUUAAGUUGAACAGAACGCACCCUGAGUCAUUCCUUAGUUCUUGGUGAGUUGGGACCUGGUCUAUAUGCAUUAAGUAGAAGACAGAAUAAAGAAUCUACAGUAGAAGCAUCGGCUAGUACAACUAUACUAGAGGAAUAAAAAAAAAUGAACACAUACAAUCAUUUUCCUUCCUGUAUCAACCUUUAUUGAGAUUACAUUUACCUUCGUGUCCAUGAGAUAGCAACGCACAGAUAUAUAUAUUUUCCAAAUUACAACCUUUACUUAGCUUUAAGGAUUUUUUGGUUAAAACACCCUUACGUUUGGUGAUUUUUAAAACAAUCCCCCUUUUGUUUUUUUUUUUUUAAAAUGAACCACCAAACGUUUUAUAAAAAUUUUGGUUGCACCCCCAAAACCUAACUUCCGUCAAAUUAAGACGUUUGUGGGGCUCUUUUUCCAUUUUCCCUCCUAAAUGUUUCGUGCAAUGACAUUUGUAUCCUUGGGUGAUAAAACCCUUCAACUAACCUCUUCAUCUCUCUCAUUCAAUUCCUUCGUCCUCUGAUUUCAUCUCUCUCCCUUGGUUCAGUCAAAUAUUCAUCUUCUCUCUCUUGUCAUCAUCUAAUCCUUUUCAUCUUCUCUUUCAGUCUCUCUCAUCUAGCACACACUCUCUCUCUCGUCAGCAUGGAGACUGGUACAAUGACAGAAAAGGGGAAACUUUUACUGACGGUAAAACAAGAGCAUGGUGCCCAAAAUAGAUGAAUUAUGUUGCUCCUUCUGUGAAUGAGGCUGAAUCUGUGUCACAAAACCACUCCUGUCCUCCUCCACUAUCAAGUCAAGCAUCAAGCAGUCAAGGUACAACCACCAAGCAGCCAAGCAAGGGCCCUGCAAUAUCUCUGUCUCAGUCCUCUAAGGCAGCACCAAGACCCAAGUUGCCAACUAAGUCACUGAAGAAGACAGCUUAAAAUUGUGGACAAUUAAUCUUGUAAUAGUGUUUUAGACUAGUGAGAAACAUUAAGUUCAUGUUAUGUAACUCAUUUAUCCUUUAUGUUAUGUUGUGUACUAUGACAGUUAAUUAGUUAUGUGUGCAAUGAAAUGAAGACUUUUAAAUUCACCAAA
Beta vulgaris subsp. vulgaris (sugar beet) is the source of this 3597-nucleotide long non-coding RNA. RefSeq lists it as uncharacterized. The transcript is spliced from 2 exons. The record is from RefSeq and is a predicted model, not a curated record. Lineage: Eukaryota; Viridiplantae; Streptophyta; Magnoliopsida; Caryophyllales; Amaranthaceae.